GGUUAAGCGACUAAGCGUACACGGUGGAUGCCCUGGCAGUCAGAGGCGAUGAAGGACGUGCUAAUCUGCGAUAAGCGCCGGUAAGGUGAUAUGAACCGUUAUAACCGGCGAUUUCCGAAUGGGGAAACCCAGUGUGACUCGUCACACUAUCAUUAACUGAAUCCAUAGGUUAAUGAGGCGAACCGGGGGAACUGAAACAUCUAAGUACCCCGAGGAAAAGAAAUCAACCGAGAUUCCCCCAGUAGCGGCGAGCGAACGGGGAGGAGCCCAGAGCCUGAAUCAGCAUGUGUGUUAGUGGAAGCGUCUGGAAAGGCGCGCGAUACAGGGUGACAGCCCCGUACACAAAAGCGCAUGUGCUGUGAGCUCGAUGAGUAGGGCGGGACACGUGGUAUCCUGUCUGAAUAUGGGGGGACCAUCCUCCAAGGCUAAAUACUCCUGACUGACCGAUAGUGAACCAGUACCGUGAGGGAAAGGCGAAAAGAACCCCGGCGAGGGGAGUGAAAAAGAACCUGAAACCGUGUACGUACAAGCAGUGGGAGCACAGGUUUACCUGUGUGACUGCGUACCUUUUGUAUAAUGGGUCAGCGACUUAUAUUCUGUAGCAAGGUUAACCGAAUAGGGGAGCCGGAGGGAAACCGAGUCUUAACCGGGCGUUAAGUUGCAGGGUAUAGACCCGAAACCCGGUGAUCUAGCCAUGGGCAGGUUGAAGGUUGGGUAACACUAACUGGAGGACCGAACCGACUAAUGUUGAAAAAUUAGCGGAUGACCUGUGGCUGGGGGUGAAAGGCCAAUCAAACCGGGAGAUAGCUGGUUCUCCCCGAAAGCUAUUUAGGUAGCGCCUCGUGAAUUCAUCUCCGGGGGUAGAGCACUGUUUCGGCUAGGGGGCCAUCCCGGCUUACCAACCCGAUGCAAACUGCGAAUACCGGAGAAUGUUAUCACGGGAGACACACGGCGGGUGCUAACGUCCGUCGUGAAGAGGGAAACAACCCAGACCGCCAGCUAAGGUCCCAAAGUCAUGGUUAAGUGGGAAACGAUGUGGGAAGGCCCAGACAGCCAGGAUGUUGGCUUAGAAGCAGCCAUCAUUUAAAGAAAGCGUAAUAGCUCACUGGUCGAGUCGGCCUGCGCGGAAGAUGUAACGGGGCUAAACCAUGCACCGAAGCUGCGGCAGCGAACGUAUCACUUAAAGCGAUUCAGCGGGUUACGAUUGACGGAGCGAAGCGACGUCAAAGCGUAUACAAAGUCGAGUCGGUUUAAGGAUACGUUCGUUGGGUAGGGGAGCGUUCUGUAAGCCUGUGAAGGUGUGUCGUGAGGCAUGCUGGAGGUAUCAGAAGUGCGAAUGCUGACAUAAGUAACGAUAAAGCGGGUGAAAAGCCCGCUCGCCGGAAGACCAAGGGUUCCUGUCCAACGUUAAUCGGGGCAGGGUGAGUCGACCCCUAAGGCGAGGCCGAAAGGCGUAGUCGAUGGGAAACGGGUUAAUAUUCCCGUACUUGGUGUUACUGCGAAGGGGGGGACGGAGAAGGCUAUGUUGGCCGGGCGACGGUUGUCCCGGUUUAAGCGUGUAGGUGUGUGUUCCAGGUAAAUCCGGUUCACUUUAACACUGAGGCGUGAUGACGAGGCACUACGGUGCUGAAGCAACAAAUGCCCUGCUUCCAGGAAAAGCCUCUAAGCAUCAGGUAACAUCAAAUCGUACCCCAAACCGACACAGGUGGUCAGGUAGAGAAUACCAAGGCGCUUGAGAGAACUCGGGUGAAGGAACUAGGCAAAAUGGUGCCGUAACUUCGGGAGAAGGCACGCUGACAUGUAGGUGAAGUGAUUUACUCAUGGAGCUGAAGUCAGUCGAAGAUACCAGCUGGCUGCAACUGUUUAUUAAAAACACAGCACUGUGCAAACACGAAAGUGGACGUAUACGGUGUGACGCCUGCCCGGUGCCGGAAGGUUAAUUGAUGGGGUCAGCGCAAGCGAAGCUCCUGAUCGAAGCCCCGGUAAACGGCGGCCGUAACUAUAACGGUCCUAAGGUAGCGAAAUUCCUUGUCGGGUAAGUUCCGACCUGCACGAAUGGCGUAAUGAUGGCCAGGCUGUCUCCACCCGAGACUCAGUGAAAUUGAACUCGCUGUGAAGAUGCAGUGUACCCGCGGCAAGACGGAAAGACCCCGUGAACCUUUACUAUAGCUUGACACUGAACAUUGAGCCUUGAUGUGUAGGAUAGGUGGGAGGCUUUGAAGCGUGGACGCCAGUCUGCGUGGAGCCGACCUUGAAAUACCACCCUUUAAUGUUUGAUGUUCUAACGUGGACCCGUAAUCCGGGUUGCGGACAGUGUCUGGUGGGUAGUUUGACUGGGGCGGUCUCCUCCUAAAGAGUAACGGAGGAGCACGAAGGUUGGCUAAUCCUGGUCGGACAUCAGGAGGUUAGUGCAAUGGCAUAAGCCAGCUUGACUGCGAGCGUGACGGCGCGAGCAGGUGCGAAAGCAGGUCAUAGUGAUCCGGUGGUUCUGAAUGGAAGGGCCAUCGCUCAACGGAUAAAAGGUACUCCGGGGAUAACAGGCUGAUACCGCCCAAGAGUUCAUAUCGACGGCGGUGUUUGGCACCUCGAUGUCGGCUCAUCACAUCCUGGGGCUGAAGUAGGUCCCAAGGGUAUGGCUGUUCGCCAUUUAAAGUGGUACGCGAGCUGGGUUUAGAACGUCGUGAGACAGUUCGGUCCCUAUCUGCCGUGGGCGCUGGAGAACUGAGGGGGGCUGCUCCUAGUACGAGAGGACCGGAGUGGACGCAUCACUGGUGUUCGGGUUGUCAUGCCAAUGGCACUGCCCGGUAGCUAAAUGCGGAAGAGAUAAGUGCUGAAAGCAUCUAAGCACGAAACUUGCCCCGAGAUGAGUUCUCCCUGAGACUUAGAGUCUCCUGAAGGAACGUUGAAGACGACGACGUUGAUAGGCCGGGUGUGUAAGCGCAGCGAUGCGUUGAGCUAACCGGUACUAAUGAACCGUGAGGCUUAACCUU
RNAcentral lists this ribosomal RNA (2990 nucleotides) under Salmonella enterica subsp. enterica serovar Infantis. Its description in RNAcentral is "23S ribosomal RNA". It matches the Rfam family "Bacterial large subunit ribosomal RNA". The record is from RNAcentral. Lineage: Bacteria; Pseudomonadati; Pseudomonadota; Gammaproteobacteria; Enterobacterales; Enterobacteriaceae.